ACGCUCGACACCUACGGGAAGCAGCAGUCGGGAAUAUUGCGCAAUGGAGGAAACUCUGACGCAGUGACGCCGCGUGCAGGAAGAAGGUUUUCGGAUUGUAAACUGCUUUAGACAGGGAAGAACAAAUGACAGUACCUGUAGAAUAAGCUCCGGCUAACUACGUGCCAGCAGCCGGGUAAUCUGAGCGGGCUGGCAAGGC
RNAcentral lists this ribosomal RNA (199 nucleotides) under uncultured bacterium. Its description in RNAcentral is "partial 16S ribosomal RNA". It matches the Rfam family "Bacterial small subunit ribosomal RNA", at positions 326 to 539 of the family's 1533-position model. The record is from RNAcentral.